RNAcentral lists this ribosomal RNA (1327 nucleotides) under Neomphalidae sp. Hatoma. RNAcentral's name for it is "16S ribosomal RNA". The stretch from base 635 to 1327 matches the Rfam family "Archaeal large subunit ribosomal RNA", at positions 1423 to 2840 of the family's 2987-position model. Lineage: Eukaryota; Metazoa; Mollusca; Gastropoda; Neomphalida; Neomphalidae. The record is from RNAcentral.
UAAAAAACUUGUUGAAAUAUAUAAAGAAAAAUAUAAUAAUAGAAAAACCAUUUUAAAAGAGUGUAUGGUUGAAAGAAAUGCUGUAAAUAAAACUAAAGUGAAUAAGUACCGUGAGGGAAUGAAUUAAAUUAUAGUAAAGUAAGAAUAAAUGUCUGUACCUUUUGUAUGAUGGCUUAUCUAGAAAGAAACAUAAAUUUGUUUUCCCGAAAUAAGUUGAGCUAUUAAAAUUCUAUGUCAAUGUAGAAAGAUUGUAUAAAGAAAUUUUAAUAGAGGUGACAUGCCUAUCGUAACUUAUGAUAGCUGGUUAGCUAAUAAAGAUAUGAAAGUGUCUGUUUUUAGAAUACUUAAGGUUAAAAAAACUUUAAAUAAGAUAAAUAACUAAGAUAUUGAAGGAUAAGCUUCUAUAUAGUGUAAAAAUAAAAAUUAAAGAGAAAUUAGAUAUAGGCUUAAGAUUAGCCAUUAGUUAAGUAUCUUGUUAUAAACUAUAAUUUGUUGUUUCUUUAAAUUUAUUUUUAAAAUUUUACUCUUGUUUAUUAGCGUUUUUUAGAAAACUAAAAUCUAAAAGAAAUUCUGGUAAGAUGAGUAUUUAAACUAAAAUUAUCUUGGCUAUAAAUAAAAUGUCGAAGAAUAAAUAAAGUUUUUUUAUAAAGCAGAAAGAAGGAACUCGGCAAAAAGUUGUCUCGCCAGUUUAUCAAAAACAUGGCUCUUUGUGUCAAAUAAAUAAAGAGUCGAACCUGCCCGGUGAUAGAAUUUAACGGCCGCGGUACCCUGACCGUGCAAAGGUAGCAUAAUCAUUUGCCUUUUAAUUGAAGGCUAGUAUGAAGGGUUUGACGAAGACAGAACUGUCUCCUAUCUGUUAUUUAAAAAUUAAUUUUGAUGUGAAGAAGCAUUAAUAAAUCUAAAAGACAAGAAGACCCUAUUGAGCUUUAAUGGUUAGUGAAGAUAAAAAUAUGUAUCAAAAAGUUAUUAUUUUUCUAUCUAUUUUAGUUGGGGCGACUAAGGAACAUAAAAGCUUCCUUUUAAAGAAAUAGACAUAUCUGUUAUGAUCCAAACAUAUUGAUUAGAAAAAUUAGUUACCAUAGGGAUAACAGCGUAAUCUUUUUUGAGAGUUCUUAUCGAAAAAAAGGCUUGCGACCUCGAUGUUGGAUUAAGAUUUCCAAUUGGUGUAGAAGCUUUUUUGGUUGGUCUGUUCGACCAUUAAAAUCUUACAUGAUCUGAGUUCAGACCGGCGUAAGCCAGGUCGGCUUCUAUCUUUAGAAAAAAGUUUUUUAAGCUAGUACGAAAGGACCGUUUUAAAUUAAAAUAUUUAUAAGUUAGAUAAAGUUUA